This 173-nucleotide ribosomal RNA is filed under the name Boletus aereus. RNAcentral describes it as "partial 28S ribosomal RNA". It matches the Rfam family "Eukaryotic large subunit ribosomal RNA", at positions 1 to 166 of the family's 3401-position model. The record is from RNAcentral. Lineage: Eukaryota; Fungi; Basidiomycota; Agaricomycetes; Boletales; Boletaceae.
UUGACCUCAAAUCAGGUAGGACUACCCGCUGAACUUAAGCAUAUCAAUAAGCGGAAGAAAAGAAACUAACAAGGAUUCCCCUAGUAACUGCGAGUGAAGCGGGGAAAAGCUCAAAUUUUGAAUCUGGCGGUCUUUGCAGACCGUCCGAGUUGUAAUCUAAAAAAACGUCUUCC